AUCAAUUAAUGUUUCUGAAGUCUUCUAGCACGUAAUUAUGGCCCAUCGUUUUUCUCUACUGGCUGCUAUUAACAUGCAUUAAUCAUGACCUGGGAGGUCUUUUCCAAUCUUAAUGACUCUCUGUUUAUCCUCGUAUGAGGAAAAGCUACAUACUUGCAUUAAAAUGAAAAUUUUAAGACAACAGGUUUCAUGUUUGCAAGCUGCUUUCUCUAGGUCUUAUCCAGCCUUCCGGAGAAUGCUGCUUCAGAAGAGCUUUGGAUCAGGUCCUUACUGUGUAUGCACGGACUGUAAUCUCAGAAUUAAAUAGAUGUCUACUUGCUCAGCCAUUUUUAGGUGAAAUAUGCAAAAUGUGUCUACGCAGAGACAUGGGCUGAAUCAAAACCCAGUUGCAUAUGUAAAUUUAAAGAUAAGCAAUGCUCUAAGUCUGUUAUGAGUUGUUCGUGUUGUUUACUAGAUCGCUUCUCUUAAAUCUUGCUUUAAAUUACAAAACUGAGUAGUCUGAGGCCAAAAUGUUUACAAUCUGAUGUUUUUUUAGCUGCUGCGUAGCGAUGUAUAAUAUAAUUAGAUAUCAAUUAGAAAGUGUGCCAUGUUCUGUUCCCUUCUGUCGACUGCUUUCAAUUUAAAUGUUGUGAUGAGUUAAGAUAAGCAAGGGCUGCAUGCCCAUAAAACUUUCAGCUCUGUAUAAAAACACCUGCUCCAACCAGCAGUGUUCAGCUUUCCUCCUUAUUUCCCUGAAAAGCAAGAAUGAAUUACAGCCCUCAUCCAGGUCAAACAGCAAAGGUCUUGCUGGCUCGGUGGAAUCCAUAUUGAUCUUAAUGCAAGAUUCUUAAUUUUGCUAUAUGUGCUGCUCUUAACUCUGACUUCUGUGAACUCCUAGUCAAAUCUUACUGAUUUCAGAGCAAGUUGAUCCUGCUUCUGUCAGGUAAGUACUGAUACUGCGUUACUGUUGAAACUGUUGGUGCUUCUCAGCUGCUGCUGGCAAAUCAGUCUUUGACAAAUGAAAAAUUCUACCUAAAAUAAUAAAGCUUCAACACGGUCCACAGUGGAACAUCUAAAAGGAGCAGAGGAGCAAAGCAAUAUGUUCUUCAGAAAACUAAACAAUGCGUCAAAGACUAAAAAAGAAAUUGUUUCUUAUUCUUUUGGUUAUGUUGGUUCUAGCCUUGGCCUCUUCCUGGUUCUUUGAGGUUCAGCAGCAGUCCACAGCUAUGGAACAGGCCGCACUAAAGAGUUUUGAUCUGGAUGUCAUUGCUGAAGCCUCUAAUGUUUCCUGCUGGUAAAGGGACCCGGACAAUCCCAAAUACAUACAAACCUGCCUAUGUGACAAGCAGCACCAAGGGGAUAGCACAGGC
Long non-coding RNA from Cygnus olor (mute swan), 1349 nucleotides. RefSeq lists it as uncharacterized. NCBI's taxonomy places the organism in Eukaryota, Metazoa, Chordata, Aves, Anseriformes, Anatidae. The transcript has 2 exons. The record is from RefSeq and is a predicted model, not a curated record.